GAUGAACGCUAGCGGGAGGCUUAAUACAUGCAAGUCGAGGGGUAACAUGGAAGCUUGCUUUUGAUGACGACCGGCGCACGGGUGAGUAACGCGUACACAAUCUGCCUUAGAUAGGGGGAUAGCCCUGGGAAACUGGGAGUAAUCCGCCAUAGUGUUGAUGAAUGGCAUCAUUUAUCGACUAAAGUUACGGCGAUCUAAGAUGAGUGUGCGUCCUAUUAGUUAGUUGGUGAGGUAACGGCUCACCAAGACGAUGAUAGGUAGGGGGCGUGAGAGCGUGAUCCCCCACAUGGGUACUGAGACACGGACCCAACUCCUACGGGAGGCAGCAGUAAGGAAUAUUGGACAAUGGGCGGAAGCCUGAUCCAGCCAUCCCGCGUGUAGGAAGACUGCCCUAUGGGUUGUAAACUACUUUUAUAUGGGAGGAAUACUUCGGUCGUGCAUCGGAGUUGACAGUACCAUAGGAAUAAGCACCGGCUAACUCCG
This 483-nucleotide ribosomal RNA is filed under the name uncultured Saprospiraceae bacterium. Its description in RNAcentral is "bacterial SSU rRNA". It matches the Rfam family "Bacterial small subunit ribosomal RNA", at positions 28 to 505 of the family's 1533-position model. Lineage: Bacteria; Pseudomonadati; Bacteroidota; Saprospiria; Saprospirales; Saprospiraceae. The record is from RNAcentral.